This 229-nucleotide ribosomal RNA is filed under the name uncultured bacterium. RNAcentral describes it as "partial 16S ribosomal RNA". It matches the Rfam family "Bacterial small subunit ribosomal RNA", at positions 568 to 796 of the family's 1533-position model. The record is from RNAcentral.
UGCGUAGGCGGACUAAUAAGUCAGUGGUGAAAUCUCUCGGCUCAACCGGGAAACUGCCAUUGAUACUGUUAGUCUUGAGUUCGGUUGAGGUAGGCGGAAUGUGUAAUGUAGCGGUGAAAUGCUUAGAUAUUACACAGAACACCAAUUGCGUAGGCAGCUUACUAGACCGACACUGACGCUGAGGCACGAAGGCGUGGGUAGCGAACAGGAUUAGAUACCCUGGUAGUCC